Molecule: long non-coding RNA, 5806 nt
Organism: Pseudopipra pipra
Lineage: Eukaryota; Metazoa; Chordata; Aves; Passeriformes; Pipridae
Exons: 2
Source: RefSeq, a predicted model, not a curated record
GGAGAGCCAAUAAUCAUGGCUCUGUGAUAACAUAUUAAAGAACAAGUUGUUGCACAGAAGAAUUUUUGAGCCAAGGGAGAGCUGACCGAAGCUCCCGGGCAGCCCUGCUGCCUCCCCUGCUGCCUCCCCUGCUGUGGGAGGGUGGUGGGGUGGUGGCAGCCUGACCCGGGCCUCUCAGCACCCAGCCUGGAGCAGGCACCGGCGGCCCCUGUGAAGGGGUGGUCGGGGCCGGGGCGUGCGGCCCCGUGGAGAGUGGCCCCACAGCCCCCAGGCCCACCCCACGAGCAGCCCAUGCUGGAGCCCGUCCUGCCCGAGGAGCCAAACAGCAUCGACAGCACCAAAGCCCCCAAGCCGAGUUGAGCCAAGCUGGGGCUGGAACGGCCUGCCGCAGUGCAGCCGAGCCCAUGCUGGAGCAGACGGAUGCAUGGAAGAAGGCCGUUACCCCCUGUGGAAGGCCCAGGAUGGAGUGGAGUCCUUCAAGAGACUUGUGGCCCAUGGAGAGGAAAAUCCACACCGGAGUAGGUUAUUCCCGGGUAGGACUCAUGGCCCUGUGGGGGAUCCACAUUGUUACAGCUCACCCUAUGAAGGACUGACUGCAUCCUAUGAAGGAUGGAGAAGUGACCCUCAGGACAGUAGAUAUGGAAGAACUACUGCCUGAGGAGUGGACCCAUGUUGGAGAGUUCCAUCAAGGACUGUUACCUGUGGGAGGGAUCCCACGGAGCAGGGGAAGGACUCAGAGCUGUGUCCCCCCUGUAACCUGUGGUGAGGACCACGGUGGAACAGGCCGUGCCCUUGUAGCCCAUGGAAGAGUGACUUAGGGGACAGCAGAUUUAGAAGACCUGUUGCCUGAGGGGGUGGACUUGUCUCCCUGCCCUGCUGCAGGGGGAGGAGAGAGAACAUGGAAGGAAGGAGGGGUGGGUGGAAAGUGUGUUUAAGACUGUUUUAUUUCUCACUCUUUAGAUCUUAUCCUGUUAGUAAUAAAUUUUAGUAUUAAUCCCACGUUUAGUUUGUUUUGCCUGUGUGACCUCUCCCAGCUCAGAGCGACUUUAGUGGGUGCCUAGAAUUCGGCCAAGGUCAACCCAUGACAACAUUAUAGAAAUGGAAUCUCUGAAGAGAAAAUCGGUCUAGUAUUUGAUGCUUGAUAUUUAGUCUUACACACUAUCAUUAUUCUAACUGAGUUUCAGAGAUCACUGUGACUAAGAUAUGAAGGUUACUGAGGAAUGAAAAAAUUUCCUGCUUGAAAACUGGAACAUAAGUCCAGAUGGUGCAAAAUGGCUUUAACAUGACAGAAAAUUGAAAGCAGCUUUCUUUUGGAAGGCCAGAAAUAAAUUUUCUUGCAUGAAAUAUCAUUAACUUUAGCAUGCAGGGUUUUUCUUUUCAUUAAAUUCUCUCUCUCUCUCAGAUACUUAUUUCCUACCCCUCAAAUUGCCUAAAUCUAAAUACAGUAAAGAGAAAAUGAGUCUAGACUCAAGCUACCAUAAAUGCUUGGAAGAUGUCCCAUUGCCUCCUUCCUAAAAUGAAGAGCUGUCUGAGUUUGUGCUCUAAUUUCACCUGCAUGAGCUUUGGCAGAAGGAUGAAAGGAGAGGCCCAUGCAAUUUGACCUCCACUAGUACCUCUAUUCUCUCCCCUGAGGUGAACCCAUUCUUGGGAACUUUCAUUAGCCAAGUUAUUAUCUGAAAGAGAAGAAAGACUCUUUCUUUUUGCUUGUGAGGACAUGCAUGGUCCAAAGUUCUUCUGGUAACUGUUGAAUUGAGAAGUAGACAGUUGCACAUGAGCUCGGCUACUUGAACUUCUCAUACAGCGAAAUUAAGUAAUCCUUGCCAGAUUUGUUACACUUGUAUUGAUAAAGGAUCUAACACAGUUUUCACAGCAUAUUUUGACAUAAGGACCUCUAAAACCUUUCAAUGGAAAGGUACAGUCUGUUAAGGCCACUGGAUGCAGGUGCUUGUUCUUAGUACUUUCUGUCGAGACAUUAUAAGUAACAUAACAAAUCCAGAAGUCUUGGAGUUGAAAGCAACUGAUGCAAAUGAAAGGUGUUGCUUAUCUGAUGAGGUGCUAAAUCUGCACUGCUUUUCCUCUGAAAUGGAGCAAUGCAGCAAAAUAGACGUGGUGAAGUCUGGCUACCAGAUCACGAGCAAAUCUGCUUGACUCAGUCCUAGGGUGGUUUGAAAUGAACAAACUGUACCCCAUUGCUUAAAAUUACCUCAGAUCCUAAGGACUGGAAAGUGGUAAAUGUGACAUCAAUAUUUAAUAAGACCCCUGGGGAAAUUUGGAGAACUACAAGGAGACAAAUCUGCCUUAUAUACUGAGCAGAUUAAUAGGAAAACAUUGAAAAAUACAAAUAUGUUAUACAUAGAAUGAAUCAAAAUGGCUUUUAGAAUAAAAGCUGUUGGAGUUAUUUGAAGAUAUCAACAAACAUACAACUAAGGAUGAGCUAAUCACUAAAUCAUUUUAACAAUGUCUCUCCUCAAAGUGCAUUAAGGAAACAAAACAAUUAUGAUUAUAAAAUUAGUAGACUAAUAGGAAGUGGAAUAACUGUAGAACUCCAUAAAUGUUUGUAAGUGAUCAUGCAAAUAAUGUGAAGAAUUAGGAGACACUUUUUGCUGAUAACACUGAAUUAUUCACAGUAGUAAAAGCUAAAUCUACCAAGACUCAUGAAAAGAUUUUGUGAGAAUAUCAAUAAAUAAUGCAAUGGUUGAAGAAAUUCAAUGCUGAUAAAUACAAAUGAAUGCAAAACCUGCCCUAAUUACACCUAAUUCACAAUAAUGGUCUCUAAAUGAGCUAUUGCUACCCUGGAAAAAGAUCUUGUAAUCCUUGUGAGUAUUUCUCUGAAAAUUUCAACUUAGUUCAGGGCAGUGAUCAAAAAACCUAAACUGAAUGUUAGGAAUUAUUAGGAAAGAAAUAGGGAAUAUAAAAGGAAACAUCAUCAUGCCAGACUGUAUAUGCCUCUGGAAUGACAACAGUGUUUUCAGUUCUAGUCACAUCAGCCCGGUAGGUCUGUCCUACAGCUAGAGAGGUGUAACAAUGGGCAGCAAGGAUAAAAAUACCAAAACACAUAACAGUUCCCAUCUGAGAAGAAAAUAUGCUCCCAAAUAAAAUAAACUCAGGUGCAAGGGAUGAAGGAGGAUAAUUCUCUGUGCCAGUGGUGGCAAAGAAACAUGAUAAUCCCCUUGGGCUUUAGAGGAGGGAUAUGCCCAUCUUAUCACGUCCAACAGGCUCCCCUGAAUUUACCAACCUUAUAUUUUUAUUUGUAACCUGAUCACAGAUAGGUAACAAUGCUUUUCCUGUACAUGAUCAAAUGCAUAGCAGAACAACUUUUCAAAGUCCAAGGAGUAAGUGUAACAAAGCUCACAGCUUUUACACACUAAUCGAAAUAAACACAAAAUUUCAUAUUUUAAAAGACAAAGAUACUUUUACAGUUGGGGCUUUCCUAAAGUGGAUAUGGUUUCCAUAUCAAUCCACAGUGGAUUUCCUGUCUAAUUACUCAUCCAUUCAUCCCCCUAAGCCAUGUAAAGAUUUUCCACUAACAAGAGCCUUCUGCAAUAGGUUCCGCAGGUCGAUUAUCUGCUGCAUGACAAACCCCUUCCUUCUUCUGUUUGUUUUGGGACUGCCAAGUUCCCGUGAUGCCCCUUACUGCAACACAAUAUAUUGAAAGGAUCCAGGCUGUCAAAGCACCAAAUAAUAAUAUGCACCCAGCCUGUUGACAUGUCUUUGAGAAGAGCCAUAAUUUAAUAGAAGAUAAAUAAGAAAGGAACAUAACAGAAAAGCAAUAUGAAUUAUACUUUCCAGUUAGCAGCUUUGGUGCACUAAGAAGAAACAGACUCUCUGUUAGCUGUGGCAAUGCUAAUUCAUCCACAAACCCAGUGGAAAAGCAAAAGUAUAAUUUCAAUUGUAAUUAUUAUUCAGGCAACAAUUCAUCCUGACCUAAUAGCACCCUAAAAAUAUUUUCUUUCAAAAUAAGUCUUUAUUUUCUGCAGUCACAGAUCUAUCAUACAUUAGCUAUUUUAUCUAAUGUACUGCAUUUAACUCUCUGGUCUAGUUGAAAUACAUUUCAAUACAUUUACCCUGGGAGGGUGUAAAUUACCCAGACUGCCUGCCUGUGAGAAGGUGAUCUUGCUAAAGGCACUGUGUCUGUGUCAAGCAGAACCUCAUGGCUGUUCCUCAGCUGGAGGCCAUGGAGUCUGGGCCUCCCAGGUGGCAAGGAUUUGCAGAGUUCUGUCUUGAAAAACAGAGCUGUCCAUCAGCUUCUUGUUGGGAACAUCUUCCCGGCCUUCCUUCUUUCUGAUUCAGUAUGGCAACAAAAGGACAGCUGUCAGUCUAUGUACCAAAGUGCUCUGGGCAAGGCUUGCUCCAGGAUGCUAAGAACUAUGGUGUACUAUGUACUUUGCUAUUCCCUCUGCACACAGAUUUGUAGCCCAUAGUAGAAGGGCAUAUUAGCAACCCAAACCACUCUGCAUUUUGCAGCCCAGCUCUACUUUUGUGGGAGCUGGGACUAUAGCAAAUAACACUCAAAUAAUUAUUGUGAAAUAGGACUCAGUUUGCCUUUAGAUUAUUAGUUCACUUAUGACUUCAACUGUCUUUUAUUGUUGUCUUAUGUCUCUUCUCUGGUCUUUGGAAAUAAUUUUCAUUUUUGCUAAUCAGGCUAGUAAUCAAAGCCUCCAGUUCCAGAUGCAAGUUCCCACUCACAAAGUCCCUGAAGGGUUGAUUGCUGGAAACUGGGAGGAUGUGCCAGGGAAAGAAACACUCAGCUGAAGCAGCCAUUCAUUGCUCUUAUAAGCAGGAACAUGGAUCUUUGUGCUAAGUCAGUUCUUACAUUUGCAUGAGUAAAGCAGACAGGAGAAUUUUUUAAUUUAAUACGUUAAUGCAUGUAAACUACAGCUCGAUAUGUAGCUGAUAUCUUUUAAGAUAGGGGACAGAUUUCCUAUUCUCAAUUGGCUCUGAAAGGCUAUCAAAUCAUAGAAUCAGAAUAUUCUGUGCUGGAAGGGACCCACAAGGGAAACAGUCAAAAACAGACAAAAAAUGUUGAGUUCCCUUCCAACUCAGAAUAUUGUGUGAUUCUGAGUUUCUUUAAUACUUUGUUUGUCAUAAAAACUUGGCUGAUUAUUCUUGCAUAAUUUUAUGCAUAAUGAUUUCUCAUCCCAUAAAAAGCAACAAUGUGACUUGUGGAAUGAAUUUUUAAGUAUGCUUGCAGGCUUAUUUUGCUAUUAUUUAACUGUGUUUAUCCCAGAGGCUCAGAACAAGAGUUUUAAAGGUAUUCACCGCUGGCCUAAGUAUACUUUCAUGUCUGUUAAUGCAAAUGUGCCAUCCUGCUUAUGUUUUUCCUGUAGACUGCUGGACAAACUUACCUCAGUUGGGUAGCAAGGACAUUUGCAGUUUUUAAACACACUCUAAAGUAGUCUGAUUAAAAUCAGGGCUACUUUAAACAUCAUGCCAGCAGCCCACUCUAUAAAUGUUUACUGGUUCAGUUUUGGGAUUCUAAUUCUCUCUCUGUCCUUCCAGUACAGAAGGCUGGGUGACAAAAGAAACUCCUGAUGAUUACUUUGGUUUGAAAUCAGUUUUUCUAACUUUGGUGUCUCCUUUGGUUUGCAUAGCUUCUGGGUGUGCUGCCACCCUGAGCCUCUUUUUCUCUCCAAUACAGCACCAUACCGUCUUCACACGAAUGAGCAAAACCCUUCUUGUCAUGUAACUUAUGUGACGUGGACUUCUGAAGCUGCAGUAAAAAGCGGAGGGAAUACAAGUGCUGUGUGCAUAACCUGGCGUGUCUGCUUGUACCAUUAAUAAAAUGUCUGAAUAGCAGCUAAACCCA